RNAcentral lists this ribosomal RNA (253 nucleotides) under uncultured bacterium. RNAcentral describes it as "partial small subunit ribosomal RNA". It matches the Rfam family "Bacterial small subunit ribosomal RNA", at positions 26 to 285 of the family's 1533-position model. The record is from RNAcentral.
AGGACGAACGCUGGCGGCGUGCUUAACACAUGCAAGUCGAGCGGAAAGGCCCUUCGGGGUACUCGAGCGGCGAACGGGUGAGUAACACGUGAGUAAUCUGCCCCUAGCUCUGGGAUAGCUCCGGGAAACCGGGAUUAAUACCGGAUACGACCACCUUAGACAUCUUUGUGGUGGAAAGAAUUUCGGCUAGGGAUGAGCUCGCGGCCUAUCAGCUUGUUGGUGGGGUAACGGCCUACCAAGGCGACGACGGGUA